Anas platyrhynchos (mallard) is the source of this 3494-nucleotide non-coding RNA. NCBI's taxonomy places the organism in Eukaryota, Metazoa, Chordata, Aves, Anseriformes, Anatidae. The record is from RefSeq and is a predicted model, not a curated record.
UUUGAUGCUUCAGUUAUCUAGGGUUCUUUUCAAGUGUCAUGGUGCAAUGAACUCUGUGUUCACCAAGUAGGCGGCUUUUUAUUCAUAUUAUCUGCUGUCUCUGAAGAAUAGUUUUAGAGAUUCUGAUGUUGCAGCAUUGCUGGUGCCUUCUCAGUAGAGUAAAAGUCUCACGCUGCGUAUUCACUGGGAAAAAGCUUAGAAGUGCAUCAGGUUCAGGAGCUAAAAGCUGUACUUCAGUGAGAAGAAUGUCUUCUGAACCUGAAGGAGUUGCAAAAUAAUAAAAUUUAGGUGAAGGAAAAGUUCCUUCUCUUAAUUUCUGCCGUUGUUGUUUUUCUUUUCCAUCUGGUCGUAAAAUGAAGGUCCCAUUUUCUGGCUUUUGGCAGAGUGCAAGCUUGCUGAAAUCGUUCACGUUAUGUAGACUGUGUUUGUGUGAAAUGAUAAUAUCAUACCUAUAGUCUGCUGCAGGCUCAAAAGCAGCCUAUGCCUCCUGGACUGUUUUAUGCCUUUGCUUUUGUUACUAUGCCCUUGUAAGUCUUCAGCAGGGAAAUGAAAUUACCCUAUACAGAAGAAACACCGUCCAGAAGAAACUUCAGGUGCUAGGGCCUGAAUUUUCACUGAAACCAAAGGCAGGUAUCUUACUGAUGUGAAGAAAGGGGCUUUAAUCUAUCCUGGUUUGUUUACUAAUGAAGGAGCGUGAAAGAGAUGCAUGUCCUUGUCUCUGAAGAGGUGAAGGAACAGCUAGUGCAAGGAACAUAAAAUUCAGUUAUGCUGAACUAACAGGUGCUUGGAGACGGCAACACAGAAUCACCUAGGUUGGAAGAGACCUCCAAGAUCACGUAGUCCAACCUCUGACAUACCACUAACAAGUCCUCCACUAAGCUGUAUCCCUAAGCUCCACACCUAAACAUCUUUUAAAGACCUCCAGGGAUGGCGGACUGAGUGAGGCGUGGGCGGACUGAGGCGCAGAGAAAGACCUGGAAAGACCAUGAGGAACCCACACUGGAAGAGUUGGUUAAAGAACCCUGGCAUCAGGAAGAAAGUUUCUCCUCUUCCCUACAGACCUGCAUCUUGGCUGUGGAGAAACCUCAUGAAGAGGUCCAUCAAGUUAAAGAGAAUUUAUCUUCCUCCCCACCUAUACAAAUGAGUGUCUCAGCUAUCAGGGGUUACCGUCCUUCUUUGCAAGGAAAAUGACAGAGUGGGAGCAAACUCUGUGCCACCCUGUGGUUUUACUUACUUGACCAGCCCCCAGAUCUACCUGCAGCAGAUGAGUUGGCUGAACAACUUUGACAGUACUAAUAAUGUCUCUCCUCUUCCCUAGAGGCCUGCUUCUCAGCUGUGGAGAAACUUUUGGAGAAACUUGCUGCUCCAACUUCCAGUGGGCAGUCCUCUGUCUCAGAUCUGUCCCAGUUCAUCAUCUAACAUGUACUUAAACUGCCCUGUAAGUGUAACAUAUUAGCAAUGUGCAGUAGAUUUCUGUGUUUUUAUGCAUUUAAUACUUGAAUCCAUGCUGUCUGUGUAACAGUCGCCACAGAGAUGUCAGUUUUUCCUGACCCUGAAACUAUAUGCCAAGGGCAGUACAUGAGCAUCAGUGUAAGACUGGAAAAUUUAGGAAGAACAGAGUUUAGUGAUCACUAUCGAGGCUGCUAGUUCUCUUUCUUCUACGAAGAAAUGUCCAUGCUAUCAUCAGCAGUAAGUUCAGGUGCACCUUUCAGGCUAGUAAGUGUGUUUUAGUGUGUCACAGAACUGACAUUUCUCUGGCCACUAUGCACCAUGUAUAUCACAACACUGUUUAAACCUUCAGAGAAAGGGUUCAGUGGGUGUAGGAUGGAAGACAAGGUCCAGGAAAAGCACUCUAGCACUAGAUGACAUGGAGGUGUUUAUUUAGGGUGGUACACAGAGUGGUAGGAGAGCAGAGAUGACUAUCACUACAGAAGUGCAUAACAGCACUGAGAACUAAUCCUUUUUACAUCCUCUGGCUUUGCACACAUUUAAAACUGCACUACUGAUUUAGUAAAAUAAUAUUGCACAUCAGUUUUAAUCUUGAAACAGAAGACUCUUGAAACAAAUUUGCUUCCUUGACAGACCACGGGAACUUGUGAGGUUUCCACAGCUUUCUCUUCCUUUUUGCUCAUAUUGAGCUUCCCCAGCCUUUCAUAGGAAUUACCUGAACCCUUUUAGAUUACAUCCACUGAUGGAACACAGCUGCCUGGGAGAGUGCCUACUGUCUCCCUAAGGUGCAGCCCUGACACAAAACAGUUGCUGAAGAUUAUUGUAGCAAAACGGUAUUGUCUUUUAGGGCAUUAGCUGUGACAUAUUUUAUCUGAUCAGCCUUCAUAAAUCAUGCCCAAAUCAGCUGCUAGGUAAAAGACUGUGUCUCUGGAUUCUUCUGCCCAGAGGUUUCUCCUUUUUACUACUGUUCUCUUCAUUUCCUGCUCUGGGGAAAUGAGUGACAUUAUGGAUAAUGAAUAUACUGACUGAAACUUCUGUUAGCCAUUAAGUCAUAUUAAAUGUACUCCCUCUGUGUGGGUGGAGGAAGCUGGGUCUUGUUAGAGGUUCAGAAUGAAAGAUCAAUGUAUUAAUUAAUGUAUUAGAAAAUGACAACCAGAAUCUCUGGAUCUGACUUAAGGCUGUAUUAUAGCUGUAAUAUCUUAUACAACUAUUUUUCUAGAUGUAGUCAGAAUUCAUUCCAUUAGAAGAGUCUUCAUACUCACAUGUUAGAAUAGAUCUAAUUUCUGUUAGGUUUGACAUUAAUAGCUUAUAUUUAUCCUCAGAAAAGAUAACAUAUCUGUUUAUCUCUGUAUAUCACUAACAAAAUGAUAGUCACAUCAGUGUAAAAAUGAAGGUGAGAGCCAGGAAGAAUUAUUUUCCAUGUUCUUGUAGUAGGGUAGCCAAAAUACUGAAAAACUGAAGUAUUCUAUUUAUGGUGACUGCCUUUGUUUAGGAAAGGCUCAUUAUCUUUACUCUGUGGCACUCUAAAUCUUGGUGAGUAAACAGGUGAGGAAAUUUUGCAGCUCUUGGUUCCAUUGCUUUAUUGCUUUUUUGUUAUUGUCCAAAAAAUCCAACAAAAUGUUUUUGCUGUGGUGGUGGUUUUUUGUUUGUUUGGCUUGGGUUUCUUUUUUUUUUUUAUUACUAAUUUUUAAAACAUUAGAAAGUCAUAUUCAUGAAGACAUACUUCUUGAAAGGUCACACUUUCUCACAGAAAGAUGUUGUGUGUAUUGAAAAUUAGUUCAGGGUUUGGGAUUCAUUAAGAGAUUAUACAGGCAGCAAGGACAUAAGGAGUUACAUGGCUGUCAAAAACUACUGUAUUUAGAGUCUGAUGUAGCUAAACUGCAAUGUCAGAUAAUUAUCAAGGUUGUAACAAGACUUUCAUGAAUAAGGGCUACCCCACUUAUCUGUAAAGAUUUGCACUGUGUUGUGGAAGUGUUGGCAUCUUUCACUGAAAUAUUUGGAGGUGGGUAAAAAAUAUAAAUUAAAAGUUCUGGUGUCUGAUACAA